UGCCCCUUGGCUGAGUUGGUUACAGCGUCCGACUGUUAUCAUUGCGAUCAAGUAAUCGGAAGGUCGUGAGUUCGAGCCUCACAGGGGCAG
Molecule: non-coding RNA, 90 nt
Organism: Abortiporus biennis
Lineage: Eukaryota; Fungi; Basidiomycota; Agaricomycetes; Polyporales; Podoscyphaceae
Source: the annotation of a GenBank genome assembly